CUCCGGGGUUGGCUGAGCCGGAGACGGAGUCGCUUUAUUUCUCCGUGGGAAUCCUCAGGAUCUCCGGCCAUGAUCUAAUGCUGCUGGUGAAUAGCUAUGGCAGCUCUCCUGUAAAAUGCCUCAUCCUCCAUACUGCACUGGGGGUGCUGCUGCUGAUCAUCACAGCCCUCUUGGCCAACUCUGGAGGGUCCCAUCGCUGUGACGUCAGCCAACCCCACCGGAGAAGCAGAGACCACACACCACAACCAGGUGUACGCCAAGCUGGGAGACCAGGUGUACGCCAAGCUGGGAGACCAGGUGUACGCCAAGCUGGGAGACCAGGUGUACGCCAAGCUGGGAGACCAGGUGUACGCCAAGCUGGGAGACCAUGUGUACGCCAAGCUGGGAGACCAGGUGUACGCCAAGCUGGGAGACCAGGUGUACGCCAAGCUGGGAGACCAGGUGUACGCCAAGCUGGGAGACCAGGUGUACGCCAAGCUGGGAGACCAUGUGUACGCCAAGCUGGGAGACCAGGUGUACGCCAAGCUGGGAGACCAGGUGUACGCCAAGCUGGGAGACCAGGUGUACGCCAAGCUGGGAGACCAGGUAUUACGCCAAGCUGGGAGACCAGGUGUACGCCAAGCUGGGAGACCAGGUGUACGCCAA
Molecule: long non-coding RNA, 645 nt
Organism: Coregonus clupeaformis (lake whitefish)
Lineage: Eukaryota; Metazoa; Chordata; Actinopteri; Salmoniformes; Salmonidae
Exons: 3
Source: RefSeq, a predicted model, not a curated record